This 356-nucleotide ribosomal RNA is filed under the name uncultured soil bacterium. Its description in RNAcentral is "bacterial SSU rRNA". It matches the Rfam family "Bacterial small subunit ribosomal RNA", at positions 26 to 367 of the family's 1533-position model. The record is from RNAcentral.
AGAACGAACGCUGGCGGCGUGGAUAAGACAUGCAAGUCGAACGGGAUUACUUUUGUAGCAAUACAGAAGUAAUUCAGUGGCGAACGGGUGCGUAACACGUGGGCAAUCUGCCGAAAAGUGGGGGAUAGCUCGCCGAAAGGCGAAUUAAUACCGCAUGUGGUGAGGGACGACAUCAUCCUGAAUCCAAAGCCGGGGUCAAACCUGGCGCUUUUUGAGGAGCCCGCGGCCUAUCAGCUUGUUGGUGAGGUAACGGCCCACCAAGGCUUUGACGGGUAGCUGGUCUGAGAGGACGACCAGUCACACUGGAACUGAGACACGGUCCAGACACCUACGGGUGCAGCAGUCGAGUAACUUUU